UACCAUUAAAGAUCUAUGAUAUAAAAAAAUUACAUACAAAAUCUGAUAAAAAUAAAAAACUGCAUCAAUCACAUCGAUGCCCUAAAUCUGAUCUAACUUUUAGAUUAUGUCGGUAGAGUUCAGAACUCAUCACCUUUUCAUGGAUCGAUGAUCUCUACUGUUGAUAAGUAUGGUACAAAGCUCUUGCUGAUGUCGAGCAUUCACAC
Molecule: long non-coding RNA, 206 nt
Filed under: Elaeis guineensis (African oil palm)
Lineage: Eukaryota; Viridiplantae; Streptophyta; Magnoliopsida; Arecales; Arecaceae
Description: long non-coding RNA (EGUI_LNC064073)
Source: RNAcentral